This 248-nucleotide ribosomal RNA is filed under the name uncultured Actinomycetales bacterium. RNAcentral's name for it is "partial 16S ribosomal RNA". It matches the Rfam family "Bacterial small subunit ribosomal RNA", at positions 84 to 334 of the family's 1533-position model. The record is from RNAcentral. Lineage: Bacteria; Bacillati; Actinomycetota; Actinomycetes; Actinomycetales.
GGGGUGCUCGAGUGGCGAACGGGUGAGUAACACGUGAGUAACCUGCCCUUGACUUUGGGAUAACUUCAGGAAACUGGGGCUAAUACCGAAUAGGAGCUCCUGCUGCAUGGGGGGGUUGGAAAGUUUCGGCGGUUGGGGAUGGACUCGCGGCUUAUCAGCUUGUUGGUGGGGUAGUGGCUUACCAAGGCUUUGACGGGUAGCCGGCCUGAGAGGGUGACCGGCCACAUUGGGACUGAGAUACGGCCCAG